GACAGAGGUGCCGAGCGUUAGGCGGAAUCACUGGGCUUAAAGCGUGUGUAGGCGGAUGCCUAAGUACCUUGUGAAAUCCCACGGCUUAACCGUGGAACUGCUUGGUAUACUGGGUGUCUUGAGCCACUUAGGGGCGACCGGAACAAACGGUGGAGCGGUGAAAUGCGUAGAUAUCGUUUGGAACGCCAAUGGUGAAAACAGGUCGCUGGGAGUGCCCUGACGCUGAGACACGAAAGCCAGGGGAGCGAACAGG
RNAcentral lists this ribosomal RNA (253 nucleotides) under uncultured bacterium. RNAcentral's name for it is "partial 16S ribosomal RNA". It matches the Rfam family "Bacterial small subunit ribosomal RNA", at positions 524 to 776 of the family's 1533-position model. The record is from RNAcentral.